UGGCUCAGAUUGAACGCUGGCGGCAGGCUUAACACAUGCAAGUCGAGCGGUAGCACAGGGGAGCUUGCUCCCUGGGUGACGAGCGGCGGACGGGUGAGUAAUGUCUGGGAAACUGCCUGAUGGAGGGGGAUAACUACUGGAAACGGUAGCUAAUACCGCAUAACGUCGCAAGACCAAAGAGGGGGACCUUCGGGCCUCUUGCCAUCAGAUGUGCCCAGAUGGGAUUAGCUAGUAGGUGGGGUAAUGGCUCACCUAGGCGACGAUCCCUAGCUGGUCUGAGAGGAUGACCAGCCACACUGGAACUGAGACACGGUCCAGACUCCUACGGGAGGCAGCAGUGGGGAAUAUUGCACAAUGGGCGCAAGCCUGAUGCAGCCAUGCCGCGUGUGUGAAGAAGGCCUUCGGGUUGUAAAGCACUUUCAGCGAGGAGGAAGGUGGUGAGCUUAAUACGCUCAUCAAUUGACGUUACUCGCAGAAGAAGCACCGGCUAACUCCGUGCCAGCAGCCGCGGU
This 512-nucleotide ribosomal RNA is filed under the name Serratia marcescens. RNAcentral's name for it is "bacterial SSU rRNA". It matches the Rfam family "Bacterial small subunit ribosomal RNA", at positions 20 to 521 of the family's 1533-position model. Lineage: Bacteria; Pseudomonadati; Pseudomonadota; Gammaproteobacteria; Enterobacterales; Yersiniaceae. The record is from RNAcentral.